AAAUUAGAAAAAUUCCAUCUCAACUUCACCACCACCUCCCGCUACAAUAUAACCGUACAAAUCGGUGUAUUGGAUUUUAUGGGAGUAACGGGUGAGCUUUUUCCAUCAGGACUCAGUGCCGCGUCACCACUAGGUCACAUGGCCCAUGCAUCGAAAAGUGCAAACCACCAAAAUAGUAGGGGUCCACGAACAAUACGACAAAUCCCAUUCCGGCCAAAAAUUGUAUUUGCCUUUUUUU
This 238-nucleotide unclassified non-coding RNA is filed under the name Hevea brasiliensis (rubber tree). Lineage: Eukaryota; Viridiplantae; Streptophyta; Magnoliopsida; Malpighiales; Euphorbiaceae. The record is from RNAcentral.